AAGAGACAGCAGUCGCCACGGGAAUACAGAGGGUGCGAGCGUUAAUCGGAUUUACUGGGCGUAAAGCGUGCGUAGGCGGCUUUUUAAGUCGGAUGUGAAAUCCCUGAGCUUAACUUAGGAAUUGCAUUCGAUACUGGGAAGCUAGAGUAUGGGAGAGGAUGGUAGAAUUCCAGGUGUAGCGGUGAAAUGCGUAGAGAUCUGGAGGAAUACCGAUGGCGAAGGCAGCCAUCUGGCCUAAUACUGACGCUGAGGUACGAAAGCAUGGGGAGCAAACAGGAUUAGAUACCCCGGUAGUCCCUGUCUCUUAUAC
Molecule: ribosomal RNA, 310 nt
Filed under: uncultured bacterium
Lineage: Bacteria
Description: partial 16S ribosomal RNA
Rfam family: Bacterial small subunit ribosomal RNA
Source: RNAcentral